Non-coding RNA from Miniopterus natalensis, 752 nucleotides. The record is from RefSeq and is a predicted model, not a curated record. Lineage: Eukaryota; Metazoa; Chordata; Mammalia; Chiroptera; Miniopteridae.
ACCUGGACCCUAUGUGACCCUAAGCAGGGAUCCAAGCAGGAACUGUCAGAGUGUUCCUGAGGAGGCGUGGCUUGCCACCAAGUCUAGGGAGACUGGCUUCAGAAGCCUUUCUGCUGAACAGCAGGUUCACCCUCUCUGCGGCAUUCUAGAAGGAACAUAAAAGUCAGAACAGCUCCGCAGAUGAUUGCCUGAGGUUACCCCAGAAGUCCUGUGGCAUCUGCAAUGUGCCUGAACAUUUCCCAUUCUUUUAAAACAUCUUUCUGCAGAUUUUGCCAAAGCCAGAAACAAACAUAACCAAGCCAAGCCCUUUGGAGCGGAGCUUGUCAGUCCACACUUUGCUGUGUGUAAGCAAAUGGUAACUGCAACUGUUGCCCAGGCCCUGUAAACAAAAGGUCCAAUGUGUUCUGCCUUGGGGAGAAGGGAAGCUGCAGCGAUUCCUUUCGUUUGGACAAGAUUUCUUUUUUUCCUUCUUUUUACAAGUUUGAGGCUUCAAAUCAAUAGCUGGAAUUGUCCUUUUUUCUAAUUUACAGAAAAAUUGAAAACAUUAGUAAAUUUAAAGAUUAAAAUACUAUUUAAAAAUGAAUAUAAUCUAGAUUGUAGGUUAACAUAUAGUUUAGCUCCACAGUAGAAUCAAGUAGCUGUGUGUUCCAGUUGUACUCUGAGGGAUUCCAAGUAUUUUUUGUUGUUUAUGUCUCUGGAUUUAUGAAUAAAGAGCUGAUCCCUCUCAGGAUCAGGAAAAUUAAGAAAAAUAA